CGAACGCUGACGGCGUGCUUAACACAUGCAAGUCGAACGGAAAGGCCCUGCUUUUGUGGGGUGCUCGAGUGGCGAACGGGUGAGUAACACGUGAGUAACCUGCCCUUGACUUUGGGAUAACUUCAGGAAACUGGGGCUAAUACCGGAUAGGAGCUCCUGCUGCAUGGUGGGGGUUGGAAAGUUUCGGCGGUUGGGGAUGGACUCGCGGCUUAUCAGCUUGUUGGUGGGGUAGUGGCUUACCAAGGCUUUGACGGGUAGCCGGCCUGAGAGGGUGACCGGCCACAUUGGGACUGAGAUACGGCCCAGACUCCUACGGGAGGCAGCAGUGGGGAAUAUUGCACAAUGGGCGGAAGCCUGAUGCAGCAACGCCGCGUGCGGGAUGACGGCCUUCGGGUUGUAAACCGCUUUCGCCUGUGACGAAGCGUGAGUGACGGUAAUGGGUAAAGAAGCACCGGCUAACUACGUG
RNAcentral lists this ribosomal RNA (466 nucleotides) under uncultured bacterium. Its description in RNAcentral is "partial 16S ribosomal RNA". It matches the Rfam family "Bacterial small subunit ribosomal RNA", at positions 30 to 507 of the family's 1533-position model. The record is from RNAcentral.